RNAcentral lists this ribosomal RNA (838 nucleotides) under Pterulicium sp. RNAcentral describes it as "partial large subunit ribosomal RNA". Lineage: Eukaryota; Fungi; Basidiomycota; Agaricomycetes; Agaricales; Pterulaceae. The record is from RNAcentral.
GGAUUCCCCUAGUAACUGCGAGUGAAGCGGGAAAAGCUCAAAUUUAAAAUCUGGUAGUCUUCGAUUGCCCGAGUUGUAAUUUAGAGAAGCGUUAUCCGUGUUGGACCGUGUACAAGUCUCCUGGAACGGAGCGUCAUAGAGGGUGAGAAUCCCGUCCAUGGCACGGACUACCAAUGCAUUGUGAUGCGCUCUCGAAGAGUCGUGUUGUUUGGGAAUGCAGCACAAAAUGGGUGGUAAAUUCCAUCUAAAGCUAAAUAUAGGCGAGAGACCGAUAGCGAACAAGUACCGUGAGGGAAAGAUGAAAAGAACUUUGGAAAGAGAGUUAAACAGUACGUGAAAUUGUUGAAAGGGAAACGCUUGAAGUCAGUCGCGUCGUUCAGGGAUCAGCCUUGCUCUGCUUGGUGUACUUCCUGUUCGACGGGUCAGCAUCAGUUUCGAUCGCUGGAAAAAGUGCGCAGGAAUGUGAUCUCCUCGGAGGUGUUAUAGCCUGUGUUCGUAUACAGCGGUUGGGACUGAGGAAUCAGCACUCGWUGCUUGGGAUGCUGGCAUAAUGGCUUUAAGCGACCCGUCUUGAAACACGGACCAAGGAGUCUAACAUGCCCGCGAGUGUUUGGGUGGAAAACCCGAGCGCGUAAUGAAAGUGAAAAGUUGGGAUCUCUGUCGUGGAGAGCACCGACGCCCGGACCAGAUGUUUUCGGACGGUUCUGCGGUAGAGCGUGUAUGUUGGGACCCGAAAGAUGGUGAACUAUGCCUGAAUAGGGCGAAGCCAGAGGAAACUCUGGUGGAGGCUCGUAGCGAUUCUGACGUGCAAAUCGAUCGUCGAAUUUGGGUAUAGGGG